This 247-nucleotide ribosomal RNA is filed under the name uncultured bacterium. RNAcentral describes it as "partial 16S ribosomal RNA". It matches the Rfam family "Bacterial small subunit ribosomal RNA", at positions 523 to 769 of the family's 1533-position model. The record is from RNAcentral.
AUACGUAGGGGGCAAGCGUUAUCCGGAAUUACUGGGUGUAAAGGGAGCGUAGGCGGUUUGGUAAGUUGAGUGUGAAAUCUACCGGCUUAACUGGUAGGCUGCGCUCAAAACUACCAAACUUGAGUGAAGUAGAGGCAGGCGGAAUUCCCGGUGUAGCGGUGGAAUGCGUAGAUAUCGGGAGGAACACCAGUGGCGAAGGCGGCCUGCUGGGCUUUUACUGACGCUGAGGCUCGAAAGCAUGGGGAGC